Molecule: ribosomal RNA, 252 nt
Filed under: uncultured bacterium
Lineage: Bacteria
Description: partial 16S ribosomal RNA
Rfam family: Bacterial small subunit ribosomal RNA
Source: RNAcentral
UACGUAGAUCCCGAGCGUUGUCCGGAUUUAUUGGGCGUAAAGCGAGCGCAGGUGGUUUAUUAAGUCUGGUGUAAAAGGCAGUGGCUCAACCAUUGUAUGCAUUGGAAACUAGUAGACUUGAGUGCAGGAGAGGAGAGUGGAAUUCCAUGUGUAGCGGUGAAAUGCGUAGAUAUAUGGAGGAACACCGGUGGCGAAAGCGGCUCUCUGGCCUGUAACUGACACUGAGGCUCGAAAGCGUGGGGAGCAAACAGG